Molecule: microRNA, 21 nt
Filed under: Homo sapiens (human)
Lineage: Eukaryota; Metazoa; Chordata; Mammalia; Primates; Hominidae
Description: hsa-miR-1285-5p
Source: miRBase by way of RNAcentral
GAUCUCACUUUGUUGCCCAGG